GACGAACGCUGGCGGCGUGCUUAACACAUGCAAGUCGAACGGAAAGGCCCUGCUUUUGUGGGGUGUUCGAGUGGCGAACGGGUGAGUAACACGUGAGUAACCUGCCCUUGACUUUGGGAUAACUUCAGGAAACUGGGGCUAAUACCGGAUAGGAGCUCUUGCUGCACGGUGGGGGUUGGAAAGUUUCGGCGGUUGGGGAUGGACUCGCGGCUUAUCAGCUUGUUGGUGGGGUAGUGGCUUACCAAGGCUUUGACGGGUAGCCGGCCUGAGAGGGUGACCGGCCACAUUGGGACUGAGAUACGGCCCAGACUCCUACGGGAGGCAGCAGUGGGGAAUAGUGCACAGUGGGCGGAAGCCUGAUGCAGCAACGCCGCGUGCGGGAUGACGGCCUUCGGGUUGUAAACCGCUUUCGCCUGUGACGAAGCGUGAGUGACGGUAAUGGGUAAAGAAGCACCGGCUAACCACGUG
RNAcentral lists this ribosomal RNA (468 nucleotides) under uncultured bacterium. RNAcentral describes it as "partial 16S ribosomal RNA". It matches the Rfam family "Bacterial small subunit ribosomal RNA", at positions 28 to 507 of the family's 1533-position model. The record is from RNAcentral.